Molecule: ribosomal RNA, 193 nt
Filed under: uncultured bacterium
Lineage: Bacteria
Description: partial 16S ribosomal RNA
Rfam family: Bacterial small subunit ribosomal RNA
Source: RNAcentral
CAACUCGGCUGCAUGAAGCUGGAAUCGCUAGUAAUCGCGGAUCAGAAUGCCGCGGUGAAUACGUUCCCGGGUCUUGUACACACCGCCCGUCACACCAUGGGAGCCGGGAAUGCCCGAAGUCAGUGGCCCAACCGCAGGGAGGGAGCUGCCGAAGGCAGGCCCGGUGACUGGGGUGAAGUCGUAACAAGGUAGC